UUCGACAGUCGACUGCACAGGUCAAAACUCUUCCGCGGCGAACAAAUCGCAUUACUCUGAUACUGAUAUCAUAGUAAUAAAACAAUAUAAAAGUACCAAUUUUUGUUAAGUUUUAUUUGUUAUUUUUUUUUAUGUAUACGCUCCGAAUAAUCGUGUAUCGUGCGAUGUUCUCGUGAUUUUAACACGUUCGUUUCGCAAACGUCUGUAACGUGCAAGUUACGUUUUUGUUCUUAAAAGAAAAAUUAUGCGUUUAAUGUUUAUCUGAAAAUCGAUUUUGCGAAUAAUUGGGAUCCGCAAUGUCCGGGCCAAAAUUACUACUGCGAGUAAGUACAGCUAAUUUUUGAAUAAUUAUCACCCCAACCGUUAUCAUAUUAUUAUAUUUCUUACUUCUAUUGCGGUUUCAUAAUUGUGAACUACAUGCUGCAUCUCGUCGUAAUAACCAUCAUAAUAUGUCGCUAUCGUUUGCCACGUUCUUCAGCUGUGAAUAUGAUGUAUAUCUAGGGUCGGACUGGAUAGGGUUCGACCCACUAUAACAGAUAUAGCGGUGGCCUUACCCUAUUAUGAAAAGAAAUUUCGCUCAUUAACCAUAUUAAUAUGAAAUGUUUUUUUCUCUUUACGAAUUAUUUUUACUUGGAUACGUACUUAGUGAGAGGACUCACUCGCGUAUAAGAUCAAUAUUGUUAUAUUGACAAUAUUGUUAUAUAGGACAAGUGCGAUAAUAUUAAAUUUGCUACAAUCGAUUGAAUUCAUUGUCAAGAUAUAUCAUUAUAAUUUUAACUAUUGAGCGUGUUUUAACAAAUUGUUGUAUCAUUAUCAAUUUGUAUUCUAAUUAUUUAAUUUCAUCCGGAAAUAGAUAAAUUGCUAAGCGCAUUUUCCCAUAAUGAAUUUUAUACGAUCAUAUUAUUAUUAUUUAGAGUGUACCUUUUUUUUUUUCCAAAACGUGACUGAAAAUUCAAUUUCAAAUACAAACGAAUAAUAUAAUAUAUUAUAAUAUAUUUUCGAUAUUCUUGAUUAACACAAUACCAACAUUAUAUAUUAUAAUGAUUGUUCAUAAUAUAUUAUUUUAUUCUACCUUUGCACUCGAAAUAAUAAUAGUAUUCCAAUUUUUUUAUGUCACACCUAAAAAUAUGCGGAUUUUUUGCUUGGUGGUACUUCGUUUAACAAAUUUAAUGAAAUGCUGAGUAGUUUAAUCCUUGAUUCAUUUAUUAUUAUUAUUAUUAUUUAUGAUGAUUUCUGAGUUCCCUUGGCAACAAGGAAGAAAUACCACAAAUACUACUUCACUCAGAAUCGUUUUUCGAUUGCAAUAAUUAUCGUUACAUACCAUGUAUAAACUAAUUUACAUAGAAUAUUCUUCAACCUACUCAACUAUCCAUGAACAGUGUCAACUUUAUUAUUAUUAUUACUAUUAUUGUUAUUAUUAUUAUUAUUAUUAUUAUUAUUAUUAUUAUUAUUGCAUUUGGUAAUACUUAUACACAAUUAUUGUUAGUAAAUUAUGUAUUACCUAAUCAUCACGACAAUCACACGGAAAAAUUAUACUAUUUCGAGUAAUGCCAGAGAUAAUAUUUUCUAGAACUUCGACGUUUUGACCAUUGUUAAUAAUAUUCGAGUUGUAAAGAAUUCGCACGGUUUUCUCUCAUUGUCUUUUUGCUUAUUUUGUAUUAUUAUUAUUUUUUAAGAAUUGUUUCCUUUAUUCGCACUAUAGAUCACCGUCAUUGUUCGCAGUCUUCACUUAUUGUUAUUAUACAGUUAUAAUUUGUUAUUGUACCGCCGCCACCCCGCCACAAGAUAAUCUUAUAAUCAGCCGUUUAAACGAUGAAACAACCGUUAAAAUAGUUUUUACGUAAUUAUUAUUAACGCAUCCGUUACGCAUAAUCAUGAUUGGUACCCCGGCGAUGGCGUAGUAUUAUUUUUAUCAAAUAUAUUUAAUAUUAUAAUACUAAAAUUACGUAAUUUUAGAUUUGCUUGCUGAUCUGGUUGACAGUCAGUACGACUCUAUGUUCGAGAAACAUCGUCGACCAGUCGAGGCUAAUAGCUGACAGGCCUAAACAUCAAAGUAAGCAGUCUUCACCAUGGGAUCAAAAUACGAACUUAGGAUGGAAAAAUAAACAAGUUUCAUCCGUUCCACCAUAUGCUGUGAAGAUGGAGCCCAUGGUGCAUUAUUCGCAACAGGAUCCACUCUAUGUGACGGCACACAAUAAUUUCAAUAGUAAUAAUAAUUCUUCAACGGCGAAAAUCGACUUUGUCGAUAACCAAGUGAGCGGUUCUGAAAUUGGAAUUUCGUCAAACUAUGGUCCACCCAACCCUGCUGCCGUGUACGGAGUACCGUACCAACCGGCUGACUAUUACAAGGAACCGGAACCGAUUAUCGAAAUUAUUAUUAAAGAAUCGAAUGAAUCGCUUCCGGCACCGCCGACACCACCACCCAUCCCGGUCACAAGACCACCAAAAGAACCCGUUCAAGUUUUUUACGUAAAAUACAAAAAAAAUCCCAAUUCGUACGGUGACAAAGAAGAUAUCAUAUAUGAACCACCGGUACCGGCGUUAACACCCAGUACCGAAUCAGUAAGUGAAAGUGAAACGACGUACACUACAGAGCCAUCUCCUCUUUAUAACAAUUACGUUACGGGACCUCCGUCGCCCAGCACCACGUACAGAACUAUAAUAAAACCUGAUUCAGAAAUUUAUCACGGGACGGGCCUAAAAGUUACUUUCGGAAACACAGAAUCGAGCUGGAGCCCAUCGUCUUUAAAUAAAGCGGAAAAUAGAGACUCUGUCAGUGAAGCGAGCGACGUUCAAAAUAAACUCAAGAAAAAUACUGAUCAAGAAUUUAAAAGAAGUUUUGUUCAACCACAACCUGCGGAUUACCAACGUUCCAACAAUUUUGAAAAUUCACAGAUUGCUAACCAACCCCAAUUUAAUGGAUUUAACACUCCGAAUUCGAACGUUGAUCUAUCGCAACAGCAGUUGAGGAAACCUAGUCCACCAGUUCAAAAUUACUUUCAAGAAGAUAGUCCUCGUUCACAUUUUCAAGGUCAAAUACCAGUCAUAAAUCAACCAUUUAAACCUCAGCCAAAUAACUUCCAAGGAAUCGUUGAACAAAGGCCUUCGGAAUCUAAGGAUAAUUUUAGAAAUCAACCAAAUCAUCAUCAAUUUAGUAAUCAACAAAAUCCUCAACAAUUUAAUAAUCAACCGAAUACUCAACAAUUUAAUAAUCAACCGAAUACUCAACAAUUUACUAUUUCCCAAAGCCAUCAACAAAUAAAUAACCAGCCAAACCAUCAUCAACAUCAGUUAAAUAAUCAACAAAAUCAUCAACAAUUAAAUAAUCACCAAAAUCAUCAGCAAUUUAAUAAUCCACCAAACCAUCAACAAUUAAACAACCCACUGGCUAAUUCACAAUUAAUAAACAACCAACAAAGUCAUCAAUUACAUUUAAAUAACCAACAAUUUAGUAAUCAACAAAAUCACCAACAUUUUAUUAAUCAACAACAAAGACAACCAGAUUUCCAAACAAGCCCUCUGUUGAGAAAUCCAUCGGGUGGUUUUCAAGAGCGACCUGUACAAAUCAAAUCUCCAAAUAACGAAAGACCGCUUAUAAGUAAACCUAUUGAAAAUCGACCACCCGCAAGUCACGUGCAAGACCGACCUUUCGACAACAGACCAUUUGAAAGCCGUCCCGUCCCGGACAAAACUUUUGAAAAUCGACCAUUCGAAAACAUCCCACCAGUACAAAAUAGACCGUUUGAUAACCAACCGACCGCCCAGAGUAAACCUUUUGAAAAUCGGCCGAUAUUCGACAGGCCUUAUGAGAAUAGGCCGUUUUUACAAAACAGGCCCGUUGAAAUAAGUCGACCGACUCAAGAUAGACCUUUCGAUAAUAGACAUCACAAUCAAGUGACGAUAAAUUAUAGACCGAACAAGCCACCAACAUCGUUGCAAAGUGUACCAGCCAACCCUAACCCUUCGUUUACACCAAACGAUAGACGACCGACGGUUCCGCCGCCACAGCUUCCCACGAGUUAUAAUACUCAGCCAAUCGGUAUAAAACAUACGGUUGAUUUACCGUUUUUCUCCCCACAACAACAACAACAGCAACAGCAGCAGCAACAGUUCCAACAACAGCAGUUCCAGCAACAGCAAUACAAAUCCACUGAAAUACGUCCAUCAAUAGCCAACAAUAAUAAUCCAACAUUGACCCAACAACAGCUACCAAUCAAGCAACAGCAAUUCUCAACGGAAGUUAAGACUUCGCAGCAUCAACACCAGCAACCAGCAAAACAACAGUAUUUUAUUCCCGAACCGAAACAACCAUCGUCAACAUCGCAAAUACAAAUCACCCAAUCGAACGGCUAUAAACUCGAACAAAUAAAACAGCAACCGACACAAUCUAGCCAGUUUAUCGAUAUCAACUAUAACAAUAAUAAUAAUAAUAAUAAUAAUAAUAAUAGAUACCAGCAGCCAGUGCAAACGGAACAAAAUUCUUUCCGCACCGACAACAACCCAUGGCAACCACAAAGUUCGUUUAAACUCCAGGAACCGACACCAUCGAUGUACAAAGAGUAUUUGAGCGCGAGCACGUUAAAAAAUACAAUAGACACGACAGGUAAGUCCGUAGCAGUUUCGAAAACCACUGAAAAACCCUCAUCGUUUGUGACGUCAUCGCCGUACAAUGAACGCAGUACAACACCAACAACCGUUACAACAGCCCCUGCUCUGAAACAAACUACAACCGAAGUGGCCAAAAACAUCACAGAAAAACCCAAAAACACCGCUUCCCUUCCGGACGAAGUACCCGACGAACUGAGGGAACAACUUCUUUCCUCCGGGAUUUUGAGCAACGCUGACAUUCAAAUAUUGGACUACGACAAGGUGGGCGAUAUACCGAUUGAAAGUCUACCACCCGAAGCUUUGGAAAAUUUUUACGGCCAGGGCAGUGCACCAGUACCAUCAAUUGUUUUGCCCCCCAAGAAAUCUGACGUCCAAAUGAAAGUCGUCAAAUAUGACCCAUCGACGGAAGAAGGCAGAAAAAUCGAAAACACCUAUGUCGACCGCUCCAAAUCACAAACUCUCGACCCAGUUGUUUUAAACGACACCGGUUAUAAUCGAUUUUUACCGUUAAACAUUAACGGCACCUACUUCCCGAUACCGAAUUCGCCGUUGUUAAAAAACAAAGCCAUCGGAAGUGUAGUUAUAUUAUCACCGGUUGGGUAUGAUUUGUCGGACGACGACGAUCAAUCCCGAGUGUCUAGAAACACUGCGAUUAAAGUGAAAGGCGUCCAUUUCGUUGUCGGCGAUAUUGUGAAAAAUCUUGUCAGAGAUCCAAACAGAGAAAAUUUCGAAACUUGGCUGGAGAAAGAAAGAGGUACACCCACCGAAGAACAAUCGGUCGUACUUUUGGUCACUAAGUAAGUACAGCGUUUAUUUAUAUAAAUGUAUAAUUUAUUUAUUCUGCGUAAUGUAAAUACGUCGUCUUACGUACCUAUUUAAUUUGUUGGAAAGAUAAUAAAAACGAAUUUUCCAAUUUCAAAUCCGAUUGCUUUCGCUGACACGAAAUAUAACACGAGUAUUUCCGAUUUCGUUAUAUAUAUAUACGGAAGAGUAGACGAGUAAACAAAUAUAAUAUAUACGUUUUUGAUUAACUUUUUUUAGUUUUCACUUAAUAAACGACAAAUGUUUUUAACAAUAUAUUGCGUUAAGUAGUUAUUUUUUUUUCAUUUAGCACCAAAUAAUUUUUUACUAUAGCUAUUAAAUUAUCGAUAAUCGUUUUUUUUUUCCAGACCAAAUGGCAACGCAAAUGGAAAGGAAAUUUACAUGUACGACGUGACGCACAAUCAGGUCAAUAAAUUGUCGGGAGAAUUGAGUGCGACUUUCGUAGAUGUGGCCGAGUCGAACUCGCUAAGUCACGAUUUGGAUAACCUAUCGUCCGAAGAGGAGGUGGAUGUCGUGGUAUCCGGAAAUAGCACCAACAACGAUAUAACUACUCCCGCUGUAUCCGGUUACAGUAAAACCACGAACGACUCCUUGGGCUCAAUUGUUGCCACUGCCAAUAAUUAGACUGAUCUGUUAUUAACGAAACAUGUAAUAUGUGUUAUUCUUAAAGGUUUAAUUUAAAUUUGUAUGUGUAUCAUCACUUUUAUUUUAAUAUUUUCAAAAUUGCGAUAGAUAUAGCAAAUAAAAAAAUUAAAACAAUCAUUUGUUUUCAAAUAUAGGUAAAAUAAUAUUUUAAAAAAAAAUCUUUUCUUUUCUUUUUAUCUAUAAAUUAUAGAUUUUAUAGAUACUUGUCUAGAAUGUAGAAUUUGAGUAAAAUAUUGCUCG
Molecule: non-coding RNA, 6315 nt
Organism: Cinara cedri
Lineage: Eukaryota; Metazoa; Arthropoda; Insecta; Hemiptera; Aphididae
Source: the annotation of a GenBank genome assembly